AUGUUGGCAGUCUUGACAGUAUUGACAUUGGAUAGGAGCCAUUUGAGUUGCCUAUUCAACUUCUACCAACAAAUGUAUGGGGAUGAAGUUCUUCUUCUCCAACUUCAAGUACGUGACCAAACGGGAGGGGUGGCAAAAGACGACAUGGUCAAUACAUACAGCAUAUCCGCUCAAAUGACGAACACAUAUAGGGCUCCGGCACCCACCUUUGGAUCCUCCUUCUCUGGCUCGAGCAACAAUAUGGACGGAUCCAUGCGGCGCCGGAAGGCGAAAAGGGUGGGAACCAGGAUGGAGGGCAGCGGCUAUCGGCUGAAGAGGCUGGGAUGCACGGGCUUUGGCGCGGAAACAAUGCGGUUAUGCGGAUGUGGACAAAUGUGCGAGCUCCGCGUGGGGUUUUGGGUGGGCUGGACUUGUGAGAGUCCUACGAAACAGAGGUCGGACUCAUGCAAACCUUCCCAAUCUUUUUAUCCGAUUUGCAGGUGUUUGGACACGCGGACGCGUCUACGCCACCUAAAUGUUUGCAGGCGUUUUACGUUAUUAUAG
Molecule: ribosomal RNA, 543 nt
Filed under: Triticum aestivum (bread wheat)
Lineage: Eukaryota; Viridiplantae; Streptophyta; Magnoliopsida; Poales; Poaceae
Description: partial small subunit ribosomal RNA
Source: RNAcentral